GGGGAGUUAGCUCAAUUGGUAGAGCAAUACGCUGGCAGUGUAUAGGUUAGGGGUUCAAGUCCCCUACUUUCCA
RNAcentral lists this transfer RNA (73 nucleotides) under Enterococcus sp. Its description in RNAcentral is "tRNA-Ala". It matches the Rfam family "tRNA". From Rfam's summary of the family: Transfer RNA (tRNA) molecules are approximately 80 nucleotides in length. Their secondary structure includes four short double-helical elements and three loops (D, anti-codon, and T loops). Further hydrogen bonds mediate the characteristic L-shaped molecular structure. tRNAs have two regions of fundamental functional importance: the anti-codon, which is responsible for specific mRNA codon recognition, and the 3' end, to which the tRNAs corresponding amino acid is attached (by aminoacyl-tRNA synthetases). tRNAs cope with the degeneracy of the genetic code in two manners: having more than one tRNA (with a specific anti-codon) for a particular amino acid; and 'wobble' base-pairing, i.e. permitting non-standard base-pairing at the 3rd anti-codon position. Lineage: Bacteria; Bacillati; Bacillota; Bacilli; Lactobacillales; Enterococcaceae. The record is from RNAcentral.